Oncorhynchus masou masou (cherry salmon) is the source of this 682-nucleotide long non-coding RNA. RefSeq lists it as uncharacterized. The transcript is spliced from 4 exons. The record is from RefSeq and is a predicted model, not a curated record. NCBI's taxonomy places the organism in Eukaryota, Metazoa, Chordata, Actinopteri, Salmoniformes, Salmonidae.
UACAAGUGCAAUCCACCUCAAUGAGUACUGGCUUAAACACAUUUCUUAUAUUGAAUAUCUGUAGCUUUAUUCCUCUGUAGUUCAGAUAUAGUAUUGAACAAUUUCGUCAUAAAAACAUUUAUGUUAAAAACCUGACGGAUUUAUUUAUUGGUAACACACACAGGAAGUUCCUAUUCUACAACAACAAACCGAUGUGUUAUUUUCUGAUGUGAAACAAACGGAAGUGUGUGAAACUGGACGAGGAAUAAACGAGGACCUGAGCACUAGGACCAUGCCUUAGGACUACCUGACCUGAUGACUCCUUGCUGUCCCCAGUCCACCUGGUCGUGCUUCUGCUCCAGUUUGAAUUGUUCUGCCUGUGGCUAUGGAACCUUGACCUGUUCACCGGACGUGCUACCUGUCCCAGACCUGCUGUUUUCAACUCUCUAGAGACAGCAGGAGCGGUAGAGAUACUCUGAAUGAUUGGCUAUGAAAAGCCAACUGACAUUUACUCCUGAGGUGCUGACCGGCACCCUCUACAACCACUUAAUCGUCAGUGAUGAGUGACUAUGACUGCCAACAGACAGGGAUGGAACUGGGCCAGUGGAGCAGGCUCUGUCUCAGGACACAUCAGUGAUAACAGUGUCUCAGUGUGUUCUGGCUCUGUGGAUGCUGUUUCCUACCUGACCCCGCACCAGAGGAG